GAUGAACGCUGGCGGCGUGCCUAAUACAUGCAAGUCGAGCGAACGGACGAGAAGCUUGCUUCUCUGAUGUUAGCGGCGGACGGGUGAGUAACACGUGGAUAACCUACCUAUAAGACUGGGAUAACUUCGGGAAACCGGAGCUAAUACCGGAUAAUAUUUUGAACCGCAGGGUUCAAAAGUGAAAGACGGUCGUGCUGUCACUUAUAGAUGGAUCCGCGCUGCAUUAGCUAGUUGGUAAGGUAACGGCUUACCAAGGCAACGAUGCAUAGCCGACCUGAGAGGGUGAUCGGCCACACUGGAACUGAGCCACGGUCCAGACUCCUACGGGAGGCAGCAGUAGGGAAUCUUCCGCAAUGGGCGAAAGCCUGACGGAGCAACGCCGCGUGAGUGAUGAAGGUCUUCGGAUCGUAAAACUCUGUUAUUAGGGAAGAACAUAUGUGUAAGUAACUGUGCACAUCUUGACGGUACCUAAUCAGAAAGCCACGGCUAACUACGUG
Molecule: ribosomal RNA, 497 nt
Filed under: uncultured bacterium
Lineage: Bacteria
Description: partial 16S ribosomal RNA
Rfam family: Bacterial small subunit ribosomal RNA
Source: RNAcentral